AACGAACGCUGGCGGCAUGCCUAACACAUGCAAGUCGAACGAGACCUUCGGGUCUAGUGGCGCACGGGUGCGUAACGCGUGGGAACCUGCCCUUAGGUUCGGAAUAACUCCCCGAAAGGGGUGCUAAUACCGGAUAAUGUCUUCGGACCAAAGAUUUAUCGCCUUUGGAUGGGCCCGCGUUGGAUUAGCUAGUUGGUAGGGUAAAAGCCUACCAAGGCGACGAUCCAUAGCUGGUCUGAGAGGAUGAUCAGCCACACUGGGACUGAGACACGGCCCAGACUCCUACGGGAGGCAGCAGUGGGGAAUAUUGGACAAUGGGCGAAAGCCUGAUCCAGCCAUGCCGCGUUGGUGAUUAAGGCCUUAGGGUUGUAAAGCUCUUUUACCCGGGAUGAUAAUGACAGUACCGGGAGAAUAAGCUCCGGCUAACUCCGUG
RNAcentral lists this ribosomal RNA (433 nucleotides) under uncultured bacterium. RNAcentral describes it as "partial 16S ribosomal RNA". It matches the Rfam family "Bacterial small subunit ribosomal RNA", at positions 29 to 507 of the family's 1533-position model. The record is from RNAcentral.